Molecule: ribosomal RNA, 509 nt
Filed under: uncultured bacterium
Lineage: Bacteria
Description: partial 16S ribosomal RNA
Rfam family: Bacterial small subunit ribosomal RNA (bases 15-369)
Source: RNAcentral
GACGAACGCUGGCGGCGUGCUUAACACAUGCAAGUCGAACGGAAAGGCCCUGCUUUUGUGGGGUGCUCGAGUGGCGAACGGGUGAGUAACACGUGAGUAACCUGCCCUUGACUUUGGGAUAACUUCAGGAAACUGGGGCUAAUACCGGAUAGGAGCUCCUGCUGCAUGGUGGGGGUUGGAAAGUUUCGGCGGUUGGGGAUGGACUCGCGGCUUAUCAGCUUGUUGGUGGGGUAGUGGCUUACCAAGGCUUUGACGGGUAGCCGGCCUGAGAGGGUGACCGGCCACAGUGUGGCAGAGAUACGGCGCAGUGUCGGACGGGAGGCAGCAGGGGGACAUAGGACACAAGGGGCGGAGGACGGGUGGCGACGCGCGGCGGGCGGGAGGAGUGGCGGCGGGUUGUACGCCGCUUCCGCGUGGGCAGAAGGGUGGGGAACGGUAGGGAGAACAGAAGCACAGGUAAAGUACGCGCCAGGAGGCGCGGUAAUAAAGAAAAGAGCACAGGCCUGAUC